AAACACAUUCUUCUCAAUUUGCAUCACAUCUAGGUUAUGUCUAAUGAGAUUGGAACUCCAGUAUGGCAAAUCUCAAAAGCUACUUCUUUUCUUCUAACCGCACUCCUUGCAAAUGGGACCAUUAACCUCUUUAGCAUCAAGUUUAUUUACUCUUCUAAGUCCUAAAUCAUCUAUCUCUUGCAAGAUUUGAUCACUUAUCCUUAUAGGUGGUGCCGGUGAUAUCUCCUUUCUAUUUUUCAAGAACCAAUUUUUAUUCCAUCUGAAAGGAAGAUCAAGGGGAAGACAAUUAUGAUGAUUGUCAAACCAAGAUGUCUUUCAACCAUUUUUUGAAACUGAAUGCUUGUGAAUGUUCUAUGCAAUAAGGACAAGCAAGUUCCAGCUGUGCUGCAGCCUGACAACAUUGAGUAUGCAGGAAAAUCACUGAUGGUCCAUAUAAGAGCUGCUCUCAUUUGAAAAUUUUGCUAUCUAGACAGAUCACAUGUUUAGACACCCACAUCCCAAAGAUACUUCAAUUCAUCAAUCAAAUAUGGAAGAAAACAUUUAUCUGGUUUUUAGGAUUAGUUGGCCUAUGGAUAAUUAUAGAUAAGAACAUGUACGCCUCUUUCAUACAAUACCGCGCAGGUAAAUUCAUAGCUAAUCUUGCCACCAGCAUUAACCUAGUGUGCAUCCAUUACCGAUCAAAAUUCAUGUUUUUUUCCUAUGUACAUUACAUUACAUCUCACACUAAAUUUUAUAUGUAUUCAU
RNAcentral lists this long non-coding RNA (744 nucleotides) under Ricinus communis (castor bean). Its description in RNAcentral is "long non-coding RNA (RCOM_LNC003316)". The record is from RNAcentral. Lineage: Eukaryota; Viridiplantae; Streptophyta; Magnoliopsida; Malpighiales; Euphorbiaceae.